GGGCCUGUAGCUCAGUGGUAGAAUAUCUGCUUUGCAUGCAAAAGAUGCCAGGUUUAAUCCCUGGUAUCUCCA
Molecule: transfer RNA, 72 nt
Filed under: Sphaerodactylus townsendi
Lineage: Eukaryota; Metazoa; Chordata; Lepidosauria; Squamata; Sphaerodactylidae
Description: tRNA-Ala
Rfam family: tRNA
About the family: Transfer RNA (tRNA) molecules are approximately 80 nucleotides in length. Their secondary structure includes four short double-helical elements and three loops (D, anti-codon, and T loops).
Source: RNAcentral